Molecule: ribosomal RNA, 274 nt
Filed under: uncultured bacterium
Lineage: Bacteria
Description: partial 16S ribosomal RNA
Rfam family: Bacterial small subunit ribosomal RNA
Source: RNAcentral
AUACGGAGGGUGCAAGCGUUGUUCGGAAUCACUGGGCGUAAAGGGCGCGCAGGCGGUUUGGUAAGUCAGAUGUGAAAGCCCACGGCUCAACCGUGGAAGUGCAUUUGAAACUGCCAGACUUGAGUACCAGAGGGGAAAGUGGAACUCCCGGUGUAGAGGUGAAAUUCGUAGAUAUCGGGAGGAAUACCGGUGGCGAAGGCGACUUUCUGGCUGGAUACUGACGCUGAGGCGCGAAAGCGUGGGGAGCAAACAGGAUUAGAUACCCUAGUAGUCC